AUGGCUUCUUACAUCAAUCAAUAUCGACUUUGGGGAAUUUUGGGCGUUGUAUUUAUUUUGCUCUCAGGAUUCAUAACUAGCUUAGAUGCCAUGAUUCCACAACCAAUAUAUAAGUGCGUCGGCAACGGGACUUGCACAAACAAUAUAGAUUGCACAAACACAUGCUCUUUUUUCGGAUAUAAGAAAGGUGAGCUUCCUCAAGCAGAACUACCAAUGUUGAAAAGAUCUAUCGACAUACCUGUUGGCUGA
Molecule: non-coding RNA, 249 nt
Organism: Vicia faba (fava bean)
Lineage: Eukaryota; Viridiplantae; Streptophyta; Magnoliopsida; Fabales; Fabaceae
Source: the annotation of a GenBank genome assembly